UUCUAAUAUGGCAGAAUAGUGCAAUGGACUUAAACCCCAUAAAUAAAGUUUUUACUUUUUUUAGAAA
This 67-nucleotide transfer RNA is filed under the name unidentified. RNAcentral describes it as "Borboresthes tibialis tRNA-Leu". It matches the Rfam family "tRNA". From Rfam's summary of the family: Transfer RNA (tRNA) molecules are approximately 80 nucleotides in length. Their secondary structure includes four short double-helical elements and three loops (D, anti-codon, and T loops). The record is from RNAcentral.